This 232-nucleotide unclassified non-coding RNA is filed under the name plant metagenome. RNAcentral's name for it is "partial contains small subunit ribosomal RNA, internal transcribed spacer 1, and 5.8S ribosomal RNA". The record is from RNAcentral.
UUUCCGUAGGUGAACCUGCGGAAGGAUCUUAUUGGAUUUUGAAACUUCAGGCUGCUGCUGGCUCUCCUCGGAGGGCAUGUGCACGCUUGUUGUCCAUUAUUUCUCCCACUGUGCACAAAUUGUAGACCUUUCAGUAGGCCUAUGUUGUUUUUCACAAUCUCUGAAUGUAAUAGAAUGGUUUUGAAUCUUGGGAAAUACAAUACAACUUUCAGCAACGGAUCUCUUGGCUCUC